This is a non-coding RNA of Vicugna pacos (alpaca), 1078 nucleotides long. The record is from RefSeq and is a predicted model, not a curated record. Lineage: Eukaryota; Metazoa; Chordata; Mammalia; Artiodactyla; Camelidae.
GUGCCUGGUCUGGUACGAGGUACCACAGAGGCAGUGGUGGGAGGGAUGACAGUUUCGUGAGGUCGCUUAUGUAUUGAGCUGAGUGCAGACACUGCCCAGCAUAUGGUAACUAUCAGCGAACAUCCUUCCAAUUCUCCAGUCUAAAAGCAUUACAGUUACGCUGUAUGGAACAAAGAAAGCAUAGACAGGUAAGGCUUGGCUGAGUGGUCAGGGUUAAGCUUAGACCUGAACGACAGCAAAGAUCCAGUCCUGGGAUCCUUGUCCCCCCUACCCUACUUCAACCUCUUUAUAAGCUCUACCAACCAGGCACCUGCUUGUACCAACCACUGUGCCAGGCCUUUGGGCCUGCCCUUACACAGCACUUUGUAUCUUCAACACUGCUUUUACGUAGAAGGAAAACACCAGCUGUUCUCAAACUUCCUGGUCAGAGCAAGAGUUCUUCCAGGGAGAGCCUGCAAGGAUAGGGGGCAGAAUUUGAGCUCUUGCUCCCUUCAAUUGGAGUAGCCCUUCUUUGACCAGUUUUAAAUCCUAGACCUCUGAAAAAGAUCCAAGCUAUUUAUCAAGGGUCCUUGGUGUGCCUGACACUGUUCAAGGUGCUUAGGGCACAUCAGUGGGAAAUCAAAGACGCCUGUGCUCAAGAUUGUACCAUAGCAGGGAAGCCACACAGCGAAUGGAUUAGAUGAGCACCAUCCGAGGAUGGAAGAUGACGAUGACUGAGGGAAACAGCACCGUGGCAGGCGUUACGGACUGAAUUGUGUCCCCUACCUCCAAAUUCAUAUAUUGAAGCCCUUAUCCCUACUAUGACUGUAUAAGGAGAUAGGGCCUUUAAAAGGAGAUAAUAAAGUUAAAUGAGGUCAUAAGAGAAGGACCCUCAUCCAAUAAGACUGGUGUCCUUACAAGAAGAGGCAAAGACACUAGGACUGCACACAAAGGAAAGACCGUGUGAGGACACAGCAUGAAGGAGUCCAUCUGGAAGCCAAGGAGAGAUGUCUCAGGAGAAACCAAAGCUGCCAGCACCUCGAUCUUGGACUUCUAGCUUCCAGAAGUAGAAGAAAAUAAAUUUCUGUUGUUUAAGCUC